CAGCCGCCACGGUAAUACAGAGGGUGCGAGCGUUAAUCGGAUUUACUGGGCGUAAAGCGUGCGUAGGCGGCUUCUUAAGUCGGAUGUGAAAUCCCUGAGCUUAACUUAGGGAUUGCAUUCGAUACUGGGAAGCUAGAGUAUGGGAGAGGAUGGUAGAAUUCCAGGUGUAGCGGUGAAAUGCGUAGAGAUCUGGAGGAAUACCGAUGGCGAAGGCAGCCAUCUGGCCUAAUACUGACGCUGAGGUACGAAAGCAUGGGGAGCAAACAGGAUUAGAUACCCGCGUAGUCCCUGUCUCUUAUAC
RNAcentral lists this ribosomal RNA (301 nucleotides) under uncultured bacterium. RNAcentral's name for it is "partial 16S ribosomal RNA". It matches the Rfam family "Bacterial small subunit ribosomal RNA", at positions 509 to 807 of the family's 1533-position model. The record is from RNAcentral.